RNAcentral lists this ribosomal RNA (536 nucleotides) under uncultured bacterium. RNAcentral describes it as "bacterial SSU rRNA". It matches the Rfam family "Bacterial small subunit ribosomal RNA", at positions 974 to 1509 of the family's 1533-position model. The record is from RNAcentral.
CCUGGCCUUGACAUACUAAGAACUUUCCGGAGAUGGAUUGGUGCCUUCGGGAACUUAGAUACAGGUGCUGCAUGGCUGUCGUCAGCUCGUGUCGUGAGAUGUUGGGUUAAGUCCCGCAACGAGCGCAACCCUUUUCCUUAUUUGCCAGCGGGUCAUGCCGGGAACUUUAAGGAUACUGCCAGUGACAAACUGGAGGAAGGCGGGGACGACGUCAAGUCAUCAUGGCCCUUACGGCCAGGGCUACACACGUGCUACAAUGGUCGGUACAAAGGGUUGCUACCUCGCGAGAGGAUGCUAAUCUCAAAAAGCCGAUCGUAGUCCGGAUCGCAGUCUGCAACUCGACUGCGUGAAGUCGGAAUCGCUAGUAAUCGCGGAUCAGAAUGCCGCGGUGAAUACGUUCCCGGGCCUUGUACACACCGCCCGUCACACCAUGGGAGUUUGUUGCACCAGAAGUAGGUAGUCUAACCGCAAGGAGGACGCUUACCACGGUGUGGCCGAUGACUGGGGUGAAGUCGUAACAAGGUAGGCGUAGAUGA